UCAGAGCAUCUCUGACCGGCACUAAGUGUAGUGCGCCCCAUCCCGUGGAUUUGAAGCGACGGCUCCAUUUCCUUUCCGACUUCCCUCAUUUAAUCAAGUGCUUGCGCAACGGCCUGCUUAGCCAUGAGUACUUGGUGCCAGAAGGGCGGGUCUCCUUGCAAGCUGUACGUAGAGCCGUGGCAAUGGAUGGGAACAACGUGACACUCCAGGCACUACAUGGCAUCACCACCAGCCACACUCACCCGAACAACUUCGAAAAGAUGCGGGUUUCUUUAGCUUUCCAGCUAUUCAGUGACAAAGUUGUCAAGGGCAUGCAGCUCUACUGAGAAAAGAUUGAAGAACGGUGCGGUGAUAUUGCAGCAACACUACAUUUCUUUGAGAUCAUCCGUGACCUCAUCUUGAUAAUGACUUCCCGGUUUCCUGCCGAAGCAUUGAGACUUUCAUCACCAUCUGCGGACAAACUGAAGAACAUGCUGGUACUGCUGGACAACUGGGAACGUCACACAAAAGGACAGCGUGGCUUCCAGAGCCAGUCCACUGCAACAGGGCUCCGAGUUACUGUCUCAAGUGUAUUGUCAUUGCUGAAAUACCUUUGUGAAGUCGUAGGUUUUAAAUACCUGUUAACGAGCCGGACAAGCCAGGACCCCAUUGAGCACCUUUUUGCUAUAGUGCGGCAGUCAUGUGGAUGCAAUGCCCAUCCGACGCCACAGCAGUUUGUUGUUGCUGUAAACUGCCUAUCGUUCAGUAAUCUUGUUCACUCGGUUGCGAAAGGAAAUUGUGAGCCUGCAAUACUCAGUUCCCUCUUAGGCCCUGAUGCCAGUCAGCACAGCGGUCCUUCUGGCAAGCAGCAGCUUGUUGAUAUGUCUCUUGAUGUGGGCAAUAUUGAUGCUGCAGAUACUUUAAUGCUCAGUGCAGAGUCCGACCAUACAUCGUGUGAUGUGGCAUCAAGCGACAGCAGACUUAUAUUUUAUAUGGCUGGCUAUGUAGCCAGAAAAUGUAUCCUCAGGACUAAAUGUGAGGAAUGCCUC
RNAcentral lists this long non-coding RNA (1028 nucleotides) under Dermacentor andersoni. RNAcentral describes it as "uncharacterized LOC126534068". The record is from RNAcentral. Lineage: Eukaryota; Metazoa; Arthropoda; Arachnida; Ixodida; Ixodidae.